UACGAAGGGCGCUAGCGUUGUUCGGAAUCACUGGGCGUAAAGCGCACGUAGGCGGCUUUGCCAGUCAGGGGUGAAAUCCCGGGGCUCAACCUCGGAACUGCCUUUGAUACAGCAAGUCUUGAGUUCGAGAGAGGUGGGUGGAAUUCCUAGUGUAGAGGUGAAAUUCGUAGAUAUUAGGAAGAACACCGGUGGCGAAGGCGGCCCACUGGUCCGGUACUGACGCUGAGGUGCGAAAGCGUGGGGAGCAAACAGG
This 253-nucleotide ribosomal RNA is filed under the name uncultured bacterium. Its description in RNAcentral is "partial 16S ribosomal RNA". It matches the Rfam family "Bacterial small subunit ribosomal RNA", at positions 524 to 776 of the family's 1533-position model. The record is from RNAcentral.